RNAcentral lists this ribosomal RNA (515 nucleotides) under uncultured bacterium. RNAcentral describes it as "partial 16S ribosomal RNA". It matches the Rfam family "Bacterial small subunit ribosomal RNA", at positions 28 to 523 of the family's 1533-position model. The record is from RNAcentral.
GAUGAACGCUGGCGGCGUGCCUAAUACAUGCAAGUCGAGCGAAUGGAUUGAGAGCUUGCUCUUAUGAAGUUAGCGGCGGACGGGUGAGUAACACGUGGGUAACCUGCCCAUAAGACUGGGAUAACUCCGGGAAACCGGGGCUAAUACCGGAUAACAUUUUGAACCGCAUGGUUCGAAAUUGAAAGGCGGCUUCGGCUGUCACUUAUGGAUGGACCCGCGUCGCAUUAGCUAGUUGGUGAGGUAACGGCUCACCAAGGCAACGAUGCGUAGCCGACCUGAGAGGGUGCACGGCCACACUGGGACUGAGACACGGCCCAGACUCCUACGGGAGGCAGCAGUAGGGAAUCUUCCGCAAUGGACGAAAGUCUGACGGAGCAACGCCGCGUGAGUGAUGAAGGCUUUCGGGUCGUAAAACUCUGUUGUUAGGGAAGAACAAGUGCUAGUUGAAUAAGCUGGCACCUUGACGGUACCUAACCAGAAAGCCACGGCUAACUACGUGCCAGCCGCCGCGGUAA